Molecule: long non-coding RNA, 415 nt
Organism: Pimephales promelas (fathead minnow)
Lineage: Eukaryota; Metazoa; Chordata; Actinopteri; Cypriniformes; Leuciscidae
Source: RefSeq, a predicted model, not a curated record
CAUGCCACUUUAACUUGGUCGUACCGUUCUAUUCACCCAAGACAGACGAAGGAGAAAGGCAACAAGUCUUUUUCGCGCACGCGGUUGGCGGAACCAGGCCUACGUGUAGAGAUGUAGCCAUGGAGGAGGAUUAUGAUCAGCAGCUGGAAGAACACCUCGAUGGACAAGAGGAUCCGUGCCAUUUGAUGUUUUGUGAUUAACUUUAUAUAUUUUAUUAUUUGCACAUUUUUACAAUACAAAUCAGUCCCAACAUUCAAUUAUAUAACUGAUAUAUCAAAUGAUUUAUAUAUUUUAUUAUUUGCACAUUUUUACAAUAUAAAUCAGUCCCAACAUUCAAUUCUUUUGUAGUCUACAUCAUGCUCUAUCAGUAUGAAGCUGAGCUUUCUAGCAGCACAAUAUUACAUAUAUGGUAUUU